This is a long non-coding RNA of Thalassophryne amazonica, 162 nucleotides long. RefSeq lists it as uncharacterized. NCBI's taxonomy places the organism in Eukaryota, Metazoa, Chordata, Actinopteri, Batrachoidiformes, Batrachoididae. The transcript has 3 exons. The record is from RefSeq and is a predicted model, not a curated record.
UUGAGAACUUCUUCAUCCUCAAUAGCAGCUAACUGCUCGCUGGUCAGUGGCCCGCCGUCAGUCUUCGACUCCAUUUCUGAUGGGCCUUGGCGUGCAUCCAGGUAGCUGACGAUAAACUCGGAGUUUUGAUAGAUGAGCAUGCCGGACAACGUCAGCACAGCG